RNAcentral lists this unclassified non-coding RNA (88 nucleotides) under Pseudomonas helmanticensis. The record is from RNAcentral. Lineage: Bacteria; Pseudomonadati; Pseudomonadota; Gammaproteobacteria; Pseudomonadales; Pseudomonadaceae.
UGUGGGAGCUGGCUUGCCAGCGAUUGGGUGGCACAUUCAACAUCCCUUUUGCUGAAAGACCGCCAUCGCUGGCAAGCCAGCUCCCACA